GUAGGGGGCUAGCGUUGUCCGGAUUUAUUGGGCGUAAAGAGCGUGUAGGCGGCCAGGUAGGUCUGCUGUGAAAACUCGAGGCUCAACCUCGAGACGUCGGCGGAAACCAUCUGGCUAGAGUCCGGAAGAGGAGAGUGGAAUUCCUGGUGUAGCGGUGAAAUGCGCAGAUAUCAGGAAGAACACCCGUGGCGAAGGCGGCUCUCUGGGACGGUACUGACGCUGAGACGCGAAAGCGUGGGGAGCGAACAGGAUUAGAUACCCUGGUAGUCCACGCCGUAAACGAUGGGUGCUAGGUGUGGGCGGUGUCGACUCCGUCCGUGCCGAAGCUAACGCAUUAAGCACCCCGCCUGGGGAGUACGGCCGCAAGGCUAAA
RNAcentral lists this ribosomal RNA (373 nucleotides) under uncultured bacterium. RNAcentral's name for it is "bacterial SSU rRNA". It matches the Rfam family "Bacterial small subunit ribosomal RNA", at positions 527 to 898 of the family's 1533-position model. The record is from RNAcentral.